UACGUAGGUGGCGAGCGUUGUCCGGAUUUACUGGGCGUAAAGAGCGCGCAGGCGGUCGUUCAAGUCGCGUGUGAAAGCCCCCGGCUCAACUGGGGAGGGUCACGCGAUACUGAUCGACUCGAAGGCAGGAGAGGGAAGUGGAAUUCCCGGUGUAGUGGUGAAAUGCGUAGAUAUCGGGAGGAACACCAGAGGCGAAGGCGGCGACCUGGACAAGUACUGACACUCAACUACGAAAGCGUGGGGAGCAAACAGG
Molecule: ribosomal RNA, 253 nt
Filed under: uncultured bacterium
Lineage: Bacteria
Description: partial 16S ribosomal RNA
Rfam family: Bacterial small subunit ribosomal RNA
Source: RNAcentral